UUUUCAGAGCUGUCGGGAGGUUGCUGCAAAUUGGUUCCUAGGUCUCUCUUCUCUGCUCUCUGUCUUUCUGUCUCUUUUUCUCCCCCGUUUUGUAAUAGUCUCCAGUCCGUUUUUCCCAAAUGAAGCUCUGGUAUUUAUAACCUGAUUUUGGUGGCUUGGUGGGCUUAGAGUCAAGCCCAAAAUUUUCUAUUAUUUUCCAAAAUGCGC
This 207-nucleotide long non-coding RNA is filed under the name Lathyrus oleraceus (garden pea). RNAcentral describes it as "Pisum sativum (pea) long non-coding RNA (PSAT_LNC026333)". Lineage: Eukaryota; Viridiplantae; Streptophyta; Magnoliopsida; Fabales; Fabaceae. The record is from RNAcentral.